RNAcentral lists this ribosomal RNA (249 nucleotides) under uncultured Syntrophus sp. RNAcentral describes it as "partial 16S ribosomal RNA". It matches the Rfam family "Bacterial small subunit ribosomal RNA", at positions 1133 to 1382 of the family's 1533-position model. Lineage: Bacteria; Pseudomonadati; Thermodesulfobacteriota; Syntrophia; Syntrophales; Syntrophaceae. The record is from RNAcentral.
GGGCACUUUAAAGAGACUGCCGGUGUUAAGCCGGAGGAAGUGGGAUGACGUCAAGUCCUCAUGGCCUUUAUGCCCAGGGCUACACACGUGCUACAAUGGGUGGUACAAAGAGCAGCGAACUCGCGAGAGUAAGCGAAUCUCAAAAAGCCAUCCUCAGUUCGGAUUGAAGUCUGCAACUCGACUUCAUGAAGUUGGAAUCGCUAGUAAUCGCGGAUCAGCAUGCCGCGGUCGAAUACGUUCCCGGGCCUU